AGGCAGCAGCAAGGAAUUUUCCGCAAUGGGCGCAAGCUGACGGAGCAACGCCGCGUGCCGGAUGACGGUCUUCGGAUUGUAAACGGCUUUUGCCUAGGAAGAAACAGACGGUACUAGGCGAAUCAGCCCCGGCUAACUCCGUGCCAGCAGCCGCGGUGAUACGGAGGGGGCAAGCGUUGUCCGGAGUUACUGGGCGUAAAGCGUGCGUAGGCGGUUGCAUGCGUCACCACUGAAAGCUCCAAGCUCAACUUGGUGAGGCGUGGUGAUACGAUGCAGCUGGAGGCAGCCAGAGGAAAGCGGAAUUCCGGGUGUAGUGGUGAAAUGCGUAGAGAUCCGGAGGAACGCCAGUGGUGCAGACGGCUUUCUGGGGCUGACCUGACGCUGAGGCACGAAAGCGUGGGGAGCAAACCGGAUUAGAUACCCGGGUAGUCCACGCCGUAAACGAUGUUCGCUCGGUGUGCGGCACGGUGCAAGCCGUGCGGCGUGCCCAAGGUUACCCGUUAAGCGAACCGCCUGGGGACUACGAGCGCAAGCUUAAAACUCAAAGGAAUUGACGGGGCCCGCACAAGCAGCGGAGCGUGUGGUUUAAUUCGACGCAACGCGAAGAACCUUACCUAGGCUUGACAUGCAACUGCACGCCCAGCGAAAGCUGGGUUCCUGCGAGGGUGUUGCACAGGUGCUGCAUGGCUGUCGUCAGCUCGUGUCGUGAGAUGUUGGGUUAAGUCCCGCAACGAGCGCAACCCUCGUCGCUAGUUACAAGUGUCUAGCGAGACAGCCCCCAUUUGGGGGAGGAAGGCGGGGAUGACGUCAAGUCCGCAUGGCCCUUACGCUUAGGGCGACACACACGCUACAAUGGUGCCGACAAUCCGCAGCGACCCAGCAAUGGUGAGCGAAUCGUUAAACGGCACCCCAGUGCAGAUCGGGGGCUGCAACUCGCCCCCGUGAAGGCGGAGUUGCUAGUAACCG
Molecule: ribosomal RNA, 966 nt
Filed under: uncultured Chloroflexota bacterium
Lineage: Bacteria; Bacillati; Chloroflexota
Description: bacterial SSU rRNA
Rfam family: Bacterial small subunit ribosomal RNA
Source: RNAcentral